Molecule: long non-coding RNA, 280 nt
Filed under: Cyanistes caeruleus (blue tit)
Lineage: Eukaryota; Metazoa; Chordata; Aves; Passeriformes; Paridae
Description: lncRNA (ENSCCEG00000014167.1)
Source: RNAcentral
AUGGUAAGAGGGAUUACCUGUGAGGGAGCCAAUCUCUUCAGCACUCAUCUGACAGGUUGCUGCAGAACUGGUUGGUCUCUCCAAUGCCAGCAGAUGAAAGGAUAUUCAGUUCAUGCUCUGAGCAGCAUUUUCAUUUCCUCUGGGUCUUGUGGAGCUCCUGCUAUUGACCAACUCAUUCUGCAGCCAUGCCCCCACAUCUUUUGGCAUCCCAGACACCUACAGGAGGUGGCUGCUCUGCUGCUGCCAAGCAUAAGCAAAAUAGGUACAGUACUGGUGAUGA